UUCUGGCCUGUGUACGACUUCACACCGUGUAGAACAGGCAUGCGCUGACUAUCUGAGGAGAGGUUUACAGCACUUCACUCAGAUAGCUUAUUGUCUUCUUGUACUGAUGCAUUGGUCUCAGAACAAUAGAACAGUAGUGAAGUGUGUGUGUGUGUG
Astyanax mexicanus (Mexican tetra) is the source of this 156-nucleotide long non-coding RNA. RefSeq lists it as uncharacterized. The record is from RefSeq and is a predicted model, not a curated record. The transcript has 2 exons. Lineage: Eukaryota; Metazoa; Chordata; Actinopteri; Characiformes; Acestrorhamphidae.